This 254-nucleotide ribosomal RNA is filed under the name uncultured bacterium. Its description in RNAcentral is "partial 16S ribosomal RNA". It matches the Rfam family "Bacterial small subunit ribosomal RNA", at positions 524 to 776 of the family's 1533-position model. The record is from RNAcentral.
UACGUAGGGCGCAAGGCGUUGUCCGGAAUUAUUGGGCGUAAAGAGCUCGUAGGCGGCUUGUCGCGUCGAAUGUGAAAUCUCAGGGCUCAACUCUGACAUUGCAUUCGAUACGGGCAGGCUAGAGUUCGGCAGGGGAGACUGGAAUUCCUGGUGUAGCGGUGAAAUGCGCAGAUAUCAGGAGGAACACCGGUGGCGAAGGCGGGUCUCUGGGCCGAUACUGACGCUGAGGAGCGAAAGCGUGGGGAGCAAACAGG